This 23-nucleotide microRNA is filed under the name Aedes aegypti (yellow fever mosquito). RNAcentral describes it as "aae-miR-11911". Lineage: Eukaryota; Metazoa; Arthropoda; Insecta; Diptera; Culicidae. The record is from miRBase by way of RNAcentral.
AGUUGAUCCAAGUAGUCUUGCCU